This 17-nucleotide small RNA is filed under the name Arabidopsis thaliana (thale cress). RNAcentral's name for it is "ATSL053160". The record is from RNAcentral. Lineage: Eukaryota; Viridiplantae; Streptophyta; Magnoliopsida; Brassicales; Brassicaceae.
UUUGUUAAUCCGAAUUU